UCUCCCGAUCGAUCGCCGAGUAAGAGGGUGGACUGGCCUCGCACCACCUUCUUAAAUGCAUCGCUGCAAUGGCGGGCAGAGAGGCUGAGAAGCACUCUCAGCAAGCAAGGUGGCCCGCAAGCAUCCCAAAAAUUGCCUUCUAUCAUCGAACCCCUUGUAAAGAACAAAGAGACGAUGAGAAAAAUUUUGAAUGGAAAAACUUCACUGCUGGCCAAAAAAUAUUUCCUAUAUCUCCCAUACCAAAGGUGAUAUUAAGACAAGUAGUAAAAUGGGCGGAACAAACAAUCCAUCUUUGUAGAAGACGAAGGUUUUAGAUUGAUUGUCAGAAUGCCAAACAAUGGCAGCAAAUUGGUUUUGAAGAAGAGAAUGAAAAUGAAGAUGGAAGAUGGAAAGUGCAAAGCAUACGUGCAUUUAUAAGGGGGUGGAGAUGAAGAGACGGAAUAUGAGCAGCCACAUUCUGCCUAGUAAGUGGAAUUAAGUAGCCCAAAAUCUUGGGAAGAGAGGUGGAAAUAUCAAGAGAAAAUGUGCAAGAUUUUUAGCACAAAGCGGUUGAAUGCUUGAAAGACUGGCGAUUAAAAGACAAACGUCAUAUAAAUGCACAAGAAGUUAACAUAGAUAUUCGUUAAUGAUAUACAAAGUUACAAAGGGAAAGUCAAAUGCAAAAUUACAAAAAGAAAAAAUUAAGGCAUUAUAUGUCUUAAUUACAAUCCGCCCCAUACCGAACGAAUUCUUUCCCUAAGUUUUUCCCAGUCCUCGUUUUGCCGAGAGGAAGUGAUGUUCAAUUCGGCCACGACAUCAUCAUCAACUUCCAACUUCUUAUACUACUCGACCAAGGACUUCGUUCUCUCAAUUUCUUAGGAGGCGUUACGCUUUUUCGCAGCCAUUCUGGCCUUGCAGUCGUCCAUUUUGGCCUGAAGUUCCUUCAUCUGAGCAGCCAAACUAGCCAUCAAAGAGUCUUCAAUCAUGACUUCAGAAGAGAUUUCUUUCAACCCGUCCUUAGCUUUGUUGAUCUCCUGAUGCAAAGACUCUUUUUCAGAUACGGCGCGAAGAUAUUGAGUACUUUUGGCCUUCAGUUCAACAUUCUUGGCCAGCAAGGAGAGGACCUCGGAAUGGAUAACUUUCAACGUCACUUUAAAAUCAGCAGAAAGAUUGAGCGACGGAAGUGUCAGUGCUUGCUCUAACUUCGCAUUCAAAUGUUCAAGCUUAUCCUUAUGUCUGGCAGCACUAGCCUUACCAAUGUCCAUAUCCAUGAAGGACACGUAUUCAAAUAUCGACUGCUUGAGGAACCUCAUAUCUUCCUCUGAAGAAGUAGCAAAAUGACCAGAUGGAGUAGGGCCAGGAAGCGAACAAGUAUUGGAUAGAACGCACAAUCUUAUCAGCGUCUUGCAAAGAAAAUUGCCAAUACUGAAGAUUCUCACUACAACGAUCAAGAUGGAGAUAAAAAUGAAACAAAGAUUACCUCAUCAAUAAUCUUGGAAGAUGGCAUAUCCUCAGCCAAGUCUGCCACCUGUGGCUCCACCAUUCACGAGGACUUUCCCUUGUUUGAGCGAGAAGAUGUUGCCACAACAAACAGACUCAUAGGAGCAUCUGCAGAACUCAAAAGUAAUAAAUCAGAAACCAAUAGCACAAGCAAAGGUAAAGCAUAAAAAAAAAACUGAAUUACCUUCUGCUUCAAUGUUUGGGGAGUUGACACCCUGGGAAGAAAGUGGCUCAUCCAUUGGUUGUGAUGAGGAUUCUGGGACUGAAGAUGUCUCUUUAAGCGUAGUCCCUUCAUCAGUCAGUUUGGAUGAAGCAGCCUCAGUGGAGGAUGAUGGAGCAGGGGCUGCCGAUAUCAGAGCCUUUAAAGGAGAAGCCGAAGUUUUCUGAGAAGUCCAAAUAAAUCAUCAGCACACAAGAAAAGUUUCAAGUAUGGAAAAGUAUGGUUGUGAGUAAACCAAUUUAAUUACCUUCCUCCUGAUGAUAAGAGGGGUAUCAUCAUCAUCAUCAACAUCAUCCUCCAGAAUGGGAGAUGCUGAAGCUGGCCGUUUGCGGCUCGGGGCACUUUUGGCUGCAGUAGGCUUGGCAGGGAGAGAAGAAGAUGGACAAGCAGACUGUUUAGCGCGAUGAGGAGGAGAAGGACUCCGGAUGGACAAAGGAGUGACUAAAACAGAAGGAGGGGAAGAAAUGCUCGGCUGGUCCAGUGAAUGAAAGGCACAAUUGGCAUCAGUCGCAAACAAUCUGCGCUUCACUGAUGACCAGAGCUGUUCAAAAAGGGGAUGGAUGGCAUGGCUAGAAUUGAAAGGGGCUAAUGAAAAAUGGCUCGUCAAAAGAAGAUUGCGAGCAUUUAUAACCUCUGCCUCCGCCUUAUUAAUAAUAUGGAAGCGGUCUAUCAAGUUCUUUGAAUAGCAAGGAGGAACAGGCCAAGUUUGGCCGAAAACAAGUUGGCGAGCAAAAAAUUGGGGAGCAUAUAUUUCUACCCCUACCUUGGCAUUGGUCCCAGUCAAAAUAUCAUGAAAUAACUCCCUCCCGGUUAAAAACUUGAUCCAAAUGAGCAGAGAGGUGCUCGCGCUGUCUACAGUGGAGGGAGGAUGCACAUAGUCUAGAGUCAAAAAGUGAGGAAAAGGAAAGAAGGAAGGGAUUGAAUCCAAAGAAUAAAAGAAUGAAAAAAUGUCCCUUCUAAAUAUAUUUACAGGAGACAGGGGCUCAAUGGCUAGCCCAUAGCAGCUAGAAGAAGAACGAGAAAUUGAUGGAGCACCAAGCAAUGGAAAAUAGGAUCUCAACCAUAUUUGAGUGAACUAAAGAGGUCCACUGCUAGUGGGAGAUGCACCAUUCUUCAAUUGAGUUUGAAUAGAAGCCAUGCCUCUAUAGAGGGCAGCCAAAAAGAAAGAACAUAAAUUCAGAGGCCUGCCACGCACUAAUUCGUGCGCUAUGGGUAAAUAGUUCAGGGAGGGCUUUAUGCUUGGCACACACAAAACAUAUUUACAAAGUCAAGCCAGAAGAAAGGUCACUCACUCAGUAUGGGAAGGCUCAGCGCUCGAAUAGUUAUGAAGGGUUUGCAGGCUUGAAUAAGACUCGGUAAGGGUUUUACCAAACUUUGGGGCGCCACCAGAAACCAAGAUACCAGGCAAAAUGGUAUCGCCCAAAGGUGGCAGAUUCACUAGGGCUCCAACAUCCCUUAAAGUAAUAGACAUGGGGCCAAGAGGGAAAACAAAGGUAUUAUAUUCAGAAGACCAAAAAAAGCGAUCAAAAAAAGUGCUGAAUCAAAAGUAGGGGGUUGAAGAGAGAUUUCUAACAAAUCAGAAAUCCUAGCAUUAUCAAAAAGUGCCUUAAUAGGACCAUGGUCCACAAGGCGAGCAUGCCACCUAUGGAAAACUACAUCAGAUUUAGGCCAAGUGCGAAUACUUCUUUCGCGAAGUGGCCCCAGCGGCAGAGAGUUUAGAAAUGGAGGGCCUUGAGUACAAGGAAACAGCUGGCCCACCGCCGCCUGUUCGACUGCCUCUACAUUAUUGAAGAAAGGACCUAGGUAGAACUCAUUGAGUUCGACAAUGGCAGGUGCGAGAAAGUUCGGAGUUAUGUAUGGACGACUAAGGAGUUUCUGAAAGUCAUCAAAACUAAAGGAGUCGCAAGAUUGAGAUUGUGAAGUAGCCAUUAGAGACGAAACAGAGUUUUUAACGUAGCAGGGAAGCAAAGAGAUGAACAGUAAAUUGUGGGAGAGACGCGAAAAAGUGAGGCGUGAUUUAACGGUGCAGUGAAAUGGCGUAUUUGGGGGUUAUAAGGGUUUGCAAAACGUCGCACCUUUUCAAAGCUAUGGAAGAAAACAAUGAUUGAAAUUCUUGUGAAUUUCGAAUGUUGCUGGAAGCACAAAAGUGAAUAUGGCAAAAUUUAAUAAUUGAUAUUAAUUUUGCCAUAUUGGGGGGUAAUUGUUGACGCAUAAAAAUUCAGCCCAAAUCGAACGGCCCAAGGAAUGAAACCCAAUUGGAGGAUCUCCAAAUCAGAUAGCCCAAAGAACGAAGCCCAAUCAAACAAUUCAAGAUGAAGGCCCAAAUAGGGAGGCCCAUGAACGCAGUAACACCAUCGCCCAAACUUGCAAGUCGCCCAGGAUCUGAGGGAAUGGAGUGUCAUGCAGUCACCCAGAGCUGUUACUCUAUUAUCGCCCAAACCUUCGAGUCGCUCGAGGUCUUAGCAAACAUGAAGUAUUGUGGUUAUCUAGAAGCGCAGUUAUCAAAGCAGUUAUUAAAGCAGCCCUAUCACGUUCCACGAUUCAAGGAACUCAAUUGAAGACGGUUGAACGACAAAGAGUAAUGGCAGCAGUUAGAAAAGGCAGUUUCAUGACAAGUUGGCCAUUACGAGGAAAGUGGGCAGUUAUAGAACGAUCAAGCAGUUUUUAGGCGGUUGAUCACAAAGAGAUCAUCCAGAGAGUAUAAAAGGAAAGAAGGACAUAGAGCAAAAAGACCCCGAAUCAAAAACUCUCGAACAGAGAACAUGUAAUUUUAAAUUUCUUAGCUUAAAUUUAAACACUUCUUUCAGUAACUCGUAUGUUUGCGCCUCUUGGAGGCAUUUUGUUUUUAAUUUCCAAUUGUAAAGUCAUCGCCAAUAAAGAACACCCCUUUUUGGGACUUUGUUUCAAGAGGUUUGUCCCUUACACAAUCGUCUGAUCCAUUUUUAAUUGUUAGCGACGAACCCGCGCGAAACAGUUUCAUUUCUAUUGGGAUGAAAUGUGACAUCUAGGUUAACUGGUUAAUUCCAAUAUUAUGAUAUUAAAUGGAGAAAAGCUAACUUGUGUAUCCACGUCAUUUACUCAUUUUUUCUUGUUCACAUCCAAUUCACUCUUCGGUGUAUGAUUUCAAAGGGGGAAAAAAGCUUCAUUUUAUUUCUUGUUUUCCUAGGUUUACACGGUCAUAGAUAUCUUGAUCGUUAAAUUUUGAAACUACCGUGAAUGAUAAAUAGGUUGAUUAUAUUUGAUUAUUGAUGGAUAGGCUUUCAGUGAAGAAAGGUGUUGCAGUAGCAAGCAAGAGCACCGAGGAGAAGGAGAAACCUACUAAGGAUCCUACAAGUCAAAGAUGCCUGCUAAUGCUUUCCUUCAUUUUCAAUUACGAAGUCCCCUCUCGUAAAAAAGAAUCAAAAUAGAUUAAAAAUUUCCAUAUUUAUUUUAUUUUAUUUUAUUCUUGUUCCCAUCAGCUUUUGAUAGCAUCAACAUGUAUAUAUAUUAAAGAUUCUGUCACCGUGCUUUAUUCUAUAUGGUUAGUCGAAGUGUUUUAGUUUAAUUUAUCGCAACUACUUUUAAAAAAGAGCCAAUAGAUAGGGUUCGACAUAACUAUCCUUAUUCCUUUACAUUAAGCACACUAGCAUUAGUUUCAAAUUAACAGGACCCGUGCAUUUCACGGGCAAAGACUAGUCUACUAUAAAGGAGAGGAUGGCAAUUCACAGUUCAUUCUUGUAGCACUUGAUUUCACACUUGAACUAGAUAAUUACUAUUCAUUAAUUAGUUCUGCUAAAUAUUUGAUCUCAACUAUAAAAUGGCUUAUGCUCUCUC
RNAcentral lists this long non-coding RNA (5512 nucleotides) under Olea europaea subsp. europaea. The record is from RNAcentral. Lineage: Eukaryota; Viridiplantae; Streptophyta; Magnoliopsida; Lamiales; Oleaceae.